Molecule: ribosomal RNA, 253 nt
Filed under: uncultured bacterium
Lineage: Bacteria
Description: partial 16S ribosomal RNA
Rfam family: Bacterial small subunit ribosomal RNA
Source: RNAcentral
UACGGGGGGUGCAAGCGUUAUUCGGAAUUACUGGGCGUAAAGAGCGCGUAGGCGGUCUUUUAAGUCGGAUGUGAAAGCCCGGGGCUCAACCCCGGAAGUGCAUUCGAAACUAAGGGACUUGAGUAUGGGAGAGGGAAGUGGAAUUCCUGGUGUAGCGGUGAAAUGCGUAGAUAUCAGGAGGAACACCGGUGGCGAAGGCGACUUCCUGGACCAAUACUGACGCUGAGGCGCGAAGGCGUGGGGAGCAAACAGG